Molecule: ribosomal RNA, 588 nt
Filed under: uncultured bacterium
Lineage: Bacteria
Description: partial 16S ribosomal RNA
Rfam family: Bacterial small subunit ribosomal RNA
Source: RNAcentral
UGGGGAAUUUUGGACAAUGGGCGAAAGCCUGAUCCAGCAAUGCCGCGUGUGUGAAGAAGGCCUUCGGGUUGUAAAGCACUUUUGUCCGGAAAGAAAUCCUUGGCUCUAAUACAGUCGGGGGAUGACGGUACCGGAAGAAUAAGCACCGGCUAACUACGUGCCAGCAGCCGCGGUAAUACGUAGGGUGCAAGCGUUAAUCGGAAUUACUGGGCGUAAAGCGUGCGCAGGCGGUUUGCUAAGACCGAUGUGAAAUCCCCGGGCUCAACCUGGGAACUGCAUUGGGUGACUGGCAGGCUAGAGUAUGGCAGAGGGGGGUUAGAAUUCCACGUGUAGCAGUGAAAUGCGUAGAGAUGUGGAGGAAUACCGAUGGCGAAGGCAGCCCCCUGGGCCAAUACUGACGCUCAUGCACGAAAAGGCGUGGGGAGCAAACAGGAUUAGAUACCCUGGUAGUCCACGCCCUAAACGAUGUCAACUAGUUGUUGGGGAUUCAUUUCCUUAGUAACGUAGCUAACGCGUGAAGUUGACCGCCUGGGGAGUACGGUCGCAAGAUUAAAAGCUCAAAUGGAAUUGACGGGGUCAUAGCUGUUU